Molecule: transfer RNA, 73 nt
Filed under: Trichonephila inaurata madagascariensis
Lineage: Eukaryota; Metazoa; Arthropoda; Arachnida; Araneae; Nephilidae
Rfam family: tRNA
About the family: Transfer RNA (tRNA) molecules are approximately 80 nucleotides in length. Their secondary structure includes four short double-helical elements and three loops (D, anti-codon, and T loops).
Source: Rfam by way of RNAcentral
GUACCCAUUGUGUAGUAGUUAUCACAUACGCCUGACACGCAGAAGGUCCCAGGUUCAAAACCUGAUGGGUACA